This is an RNA transcript of Polypterus senegalus (gray bichir), 3914 nucleotides long. It is a transcript of the gene named serine/threonine-protein kinase pim-2-like, with no coding region annotated. NCBI's taxonomy places the organism in Eukaryota, Metazoa, Chordata, Cladistia, Polypteriformes, Polypteridae. The record is from RefSeq and is a predicted model, not a curated record. The transcript has 7 exons.
GACACUGUCGUGUGUGUCAUUUUCAUCAUACAGGUGUAAGGGGGUCAUAAGAGCAAUGAGGCAACCUAAACAAAUCAUAACAUACCUGAGUAAAGGAAUCACGAAAAGUUCAAGGGACAAAUAUGAACUUUCAAAUUCAAAACUAUGUUGGCUUGCAAAAAACUUGCUGACCUACUCCAAAAAGAACAAAGGUCCAGGUUUCUCCAUAAAUCUUGAGGAAUCUGAAGAGUGCAUGGAAAAACUUGCAGUAGUGAUUAAAUGUGUAGACAAGGAAAAAAAUGCAUAUGUUUUUGUGCCUAAUGAAACAACACCUGUACCCAUGGAAGUGGCUUUAAUGAUGAUGGUAAACAGACCUCCAACAUGUCCAAACAUCAUUCGGCUUUUGGACUGGACUGAGACAGCCUCAGUAUAUAUUAUGGUUAUUGAGAGACCAUUUUUUUGCCAGGACCUGUCUGAUUUUAUGCAUUCCCAAGGUGGAAAACUAUCAGAACCAGUGGCAAAGUGUUUUUUUAAGCAAAUAACUGAGGCAGUUCAGUACUGCCACUUCAAAGGUGUAUUCCAUAACGAUGUGAAGAAGGAAAAUAUAUUGGUGGUCACUGGGACAUUCCAGUUAAAGCUGAUUGACUUUGGGUGUGGCUAUUUUUUGAAAGACACAGAGUACAGUGGCCAUGUUGGCACAAUACCUUAUUUUGCCCCAGAGCGAUUUCUUUAUAACACAUUCCGAGCAAUUCCAAGCACUGUCUGGACUUUGGGUGUCAACCUAUUUGAAAUGGUCAGUGGGUUCCUGCCAUUUAGUAGUAUAGAUGACAUCUUAAGAAACACUCCCCCUUUUCUUUUUGGCAUUUCUGAAGGUGAGAUGAAAAAAAAACAAAAAACAUUUCACCCGAAUAGAUUUAAUGGUUAACUAUUUCUAAUUUAUCCCCUUUUUAAAUUUUUCUCUAUGUCAAUCCUCAUUCUAGAAUGCAGGGAUCUGAUCAAAUGUUGCCUUACAUUUGACUCAAAUCAGCGUCCCUGCCUGGAAGAUUUACUUCGUCACAAGUGGUUACAGUAGAAGUGGCCUUAGCAGGACAUAUUAUACCAAGGUGAUUAAGGAAUCCUAGGCUGCUGCCACUCUGCUCCUUGUUGGAAACAAAAACGUUUAAUUUUCCCCUGUCUUUGUGCUUGAGUGUGUUUCAUUUCUGUUCCUACCAAGCACUUUGUCCACAAACUAAAUCCUGUUCCGUAGGAGAAUUUUGUGCCUCAUUUGAUUGAACAGGUUUCAGACAAUAGAGUUGUUUCUGGUCUAAACUGUUAAAUUAUUAUAAGAAAAUGUGGUGCAAAGUUUCUUGCAUUUAAUUUUUUUUUUUUAAGUGAUAUUCAAAUUAUUACUCUGGCCUGAUUAUAAAGAACAGGUAAGACACUCAUUCAUUGUUUGAUAGCUUGAUCAUUUGAAAUGCAUUAACUACCAUAAAUAAGAUUGAGCAAAAUGUUUCUUACUGCACAUUCAUUAUAGUUAUAUCUUUAACUGCAGAGAGCUAAGAUACAGUAUAUUUGCUGAAUAUAUUUUGACUUGAAUGCAAAUUAUGCUUUCCUCCAUUUUGGAGUGUUGCUAUGCUGUACAAUAAUACUUUAGGCAUACUGGUGGCUUUCCAUGUUUACUUGACAUAAUAAAACUCUUGAAUUUCUGUCAUCUUUCUUCACACAUCAUAGAAAGUGUUCUGAAUUUUGAUUUCACUCCCCACUAAUAAUGGGGAAAAUAAUAUUCUCUGAAAUGAAUGAAUGCCCAUCAGCCAAGACUAUAAAACAUGCAAAUCAUGACAGUUGCAGAAAUUAAUAUCGGUUGUAUGGAUAAGAUUUACUUGUUUUGUAGUCAUACUGGUAGAAAGAAGUGUGUAAGUGGAGAAACCAAUUUACUCAUGGUUUGCAAAUAAUUGUAUUGCAAAACAAAGAAUCACCUUGCAAUGUUCGUUCAGCUCAGUCUGAUGAUUUUCUACAUGCAAUAAUUAUAUUUGUAUGGGAGGUAUAACUUUAAAACUGCUACUGGUUUAAGCCUGUAUUUUUUUGUGACUCGUUCAGAGUUCUCCAUAUUUCUUUGUUUUUAUGUUAAUAAACCUGAAUGUGAAUAUGCUAUGUAAAUUUGAAAACGUUUUUGAUAUAGAGGAAAUAAUUAUUCACUAUUAUGAAAAUGUUCUGCUAUGGAGUUUCAUAUGCAGUGAAUUUGGCUUUUGUUUAUUUAACCACAACAUUUUGUUUCUAACAGGUGAAACAAAAUGCAGCUUUGCAGACUUUUUUUGCUUUCUUUUUUUAUUAUUAAUUUCUAUCCUAUGUUUAAAUUCCCUUCUAUUCAUUAUCUCUUUGUCAUCUGCUUAUUCUCCACUAUUGAGUUUUCUGUGGGUAAACCCCCUAGAUGUACAGUACUGAUGAUGUGUGUUAGAUUAAUUGAUGAAUCUAAAUUGGUCUGAUGUGGAUGACUGCAUGAUUGUGCACUGCAAUGGACUGAUAACCUUUCCACAGUUAUGUGACAUAGUAAUUCUUGAAGCAGGUUUGUACUUUUGAGUUAAAAGAAGUCUCCCUUUCCCAGUGCAGCAAACAGUUUUCACUCAAAAUAAAGCAAAAUAGCAUUGCCCAUAGAAGAUGAAAGUAUGGUGAUUGAUUUUUAUUCUAUUUAAGCAGCCAAGUUAUUUAAGUUGAAUGAUAAUAAAUGCUGUUAUUAUGAAAUUAUUAUUUAAACAUUUUUAUGUACAUAAUGGAUGGAUAUUGAGUAUGUAGACAAAUAAAGUAUAUCUAUCUAUGGUCUUGUAAAGACAUAUAUAAGAACUAGCGUAUAAUGGUGAAAUGUAUUAUCUUGGCUUAUUUUGGCCUAAAUGUUUAUGUUACACAGCUUAAAUCAUUCCCUUAUAUGUUUAGUAUAUUCCAGAUGUCAUUAAUCACAUAACUGAAGAAAAUGCUAAAAGUAUAUUUAAGAGUUAAACAAUUGCUCUCAAAUGAAAUUCAAGAAAUAUCCUAUAAGUAUAGUGGAGACAAAUAGCUUAUUUAAUAUGGGAUUUUAGGCUUUCACCUACCUAGUCUUUUUAGUUGAUGCAGUUAUAAACAAUGUUCUUAUUGUACCAUAUGAUAGUUUUUCUUGGUUAUGCUGUUGGUUUCAUGCAAGCAUAAUUAAACUGAUUUUAUUUCUAAACUGAGAUACUUAACCACAGCCUUUGUAAUGACCCAAAUUUACAAUGUAAAGUUUGUUAAAGAUGUUUCAAACCUUUACCUAUUGGCUCCAGGACAGUAGAACCUUUCAGGCUUAAUGCUGGAGAAAACACACCUUUGAAAUACAUCUUCAUUUUUUAUUGCAUGUCUGCUUUGUUGUAUUCUGAGAAAACAUUGCAGGGUAUCAUUUUUCUUGCAGCUAACACCAUGGACAGGAUCUGGUAAGAUUUUACUUUCUAUUGCAGUCCUAUCUUAGCCAUGCUGAAUUGUGAAAUGGCUGCUUCCUGAUGUAUUUGAAAGUGAUUUGGUAAGUCAGGUGUGUAUUGUCUAUGCCAAAGUGUGUUAAAUGAUUUUUAUUUUUUUUAACUAAUAAAGUACACUAAAAGUACACUCUUAUCUCAUGAUCAUAUCUUUCUGUGUCUUUGUUAAAUAUAUUCUGGAAUGUUGUACUAUUUACUAUGUUAGGUAGGCACUUUUAUGAUUUAGUGAAGUUUAUAUACACAAAGUCCCUUUCAGCACUGCAUUGCGGCCUCUCCUUUCUUUAUUUGUGUGUUUUCAUCCCUGCUGAUUUCUUUAAAUAGGCCAAAUUUGUAUGUUUACAGUGUCCAUAGAGAAUAUGUAAAACACAAUUUUUACUGUGCUUCAGCCAAACUCUGAAUGUUAUAUUUAAAGAAUUUUAAUCUUACUUAACACCCAUGCUACCCAACACCAUAUACUACAAUUACAAACAUAAUAUGACU